Molecule: ribosomal RNA, 371 nt
Filed under: Chlorella sp. GTD8A1
Lineage: Eukaryota; Viridiplantae; Chlorophyta; Trebouxiophyceae; Chlorellales; Chlorellaceae
Description: eukaryotic LSU rRNA
Rfam family: Eukaryotic large subunit ribosomal RNA
Source: RNAcentral
UCGACCUGAGCUCAGGCAAGACUACCCGCUGAACUUAAGCAUAUCAAUAAGCGGAGGAAAAGAAACUAACUAGGAUGCCCUUAGUAACGGCGAGCGAACCGGGCAAAGCCCAACUUGAAAAUCUCCAGCCUCCGGCUGGCGAAUUGUAGUCUAGAGAAGUGCUCUCUGCCUUAGCCUGUUCCCAAGUCCCCUGGAAAGGGGCGUCAGAGAGGGUGAGAACCCCGUUGGGAUCGGAUCCUAAGGCUCCACGAGACGCUUUCGAAGAGUCGGGUUGUUUGGGAAUGCAGCCCAAAGCAGGUGGUAAAUCCCAUCUAAGGCUAAAUACAGACGGGAGACCGAUAGCGAACAAGUACCGUGAGGGAAAGAUGAAA